Molecule: long non-coding RNA, 1742 nt
Organism: Alosa sapidissima (American shad)
Lineage: Eukaryota; Metazoa; Chordata; Actinopteri; Clupeiformes; Clupeidae
Exons: 3
Source: RefSeq, a predicted model, not a curated record
CCUGAAUAUACUCAUCGUGUUUUUUUUUGUUCGUCGCAGCGCUAUUGCGUGUAUUUAUACAAAUAGCAUGUGUCAGAUUUGCGGUGAUUUGAAGAAACUCCUAAAAAUAACGAUGGCAUCGAACUGAUUGUUUAGUUGAAGCAGGAUAGUGGUAAUUUACCGCCAUAUUGGUAGGACCCAUGUCGGACAGUCAGGCUCAGAAGAAAGUUCGGAGGCCUAGGGCUACAAAGGCUGAAAAGGGCACCCAGUGUUGUGCAUAUGGUUGCAAGAAGCGUAAGAAAAGCAGACUUAAUGGCAGAAGUGAUAGCGAAGGCAGCGAAGACGAAGAGUCGGCCUUAAAGAGAUGCCACCCUAGAACAUUUCAUUCUAUCCCAAGUGAUCCAGAGAGAAGAAGAGCCUGGCUUGUUGGUCUCCAUCGAGAGAAAUGGACACCUAGUUCACAUUCGCGUGUCUGCUCUGACCAUUUUAAAGAGAGUGACAUGGAUAGAACUGGCCAGACUGUCCGGCUUCGUUCUGAAGCCUUUCCAACUCGAUUUAAAAGCCUCCCAAAACAUUUGAGGAUGACUGCACCACCACCAAGGAAACCACCAUUAGACCGUUCAAAAGUCAUUGCAAGCAAGGCUGUUCAAGAACGUAUACAACUUGAAAAUACAGUUCCAGAAUGCAAUCGAGUGUCACCUACAAGAAGGGUACAAUUGAGUGACCAUCAGUAUUACAAUCCUGAAUGUAAUCCUACAAGAAAUGUACAACUGGGUGAUCAUGAGUACCACAUCAAGGAUUCACCAAAACGAUUAACUGGAAAACUUAACUCAUCCAAUGAAAAAAUUGCAAUUUUACGAAAGAAACUGAAACAUGCUCAGCAGAAAUCCAGACGUUUGCAAAUGAAAGUCAAGUCACUGAAGGAUAUUGUAAAACAUCUGCGCAAAACACAGAAGCAGCUGGAGUUGGGAACUUCACAUGAAAAUGUGUCUUCUGAAAACAGUUCAAAAAGUAAUAUGAAAAAUACGUGACAGUGCUAACACAGAAACGGUUUGAUCUGAACAGGAAAGGACUAUCAAAAUCCCAGUCCUUAAAUGUCAGUCAGAUAACUGGCUGUGCCAUGGUCACAGAAAAUACUUGCUGGAAAGUAUCUUAAAAAGGUACUAGGACAUCAUUAUACUCUGAUGGAAGUUUGACCAGCAUUCUGUCAACACCCCGGACCAUGACAAAACCAAUACAAAUAAACAGCAAGAUAAACAUGUUGGAGGUGUUAGACAUUGUGAAAUUCUGAUUUAUCUGGAUGUCCCUUGUCCCUUAUUUUGAAACUCUAGUAGUCCUGCGAUUUUUGAAACUAAUAGUCCUGCGUCCAACUUCAAGUUCUGUGUCUAAUCGCUCUCCAUUUAUUGAUUAUUGAUUGUCAGCACCUUGCUCAGUGAUAAAUCCAAAAGGUGAAAUUGUUUUUUCAGGAGAUGGUUUGAGAUAUUUGAGUUCAGGACUCCAUAUUUCUCUUUUGAUAAACCUCUCUAUUGUAACCAACUAAGUGUGAAAUCUGCACUACAGCAUAAUUAAAUAAAGAUUGUCACUUAAAAGGUUAAUCAACAGCUGUGGAAGUCUUGCUCGAAUACUUUACAUAUUGUCUGACUCAAAAUUCCGAAGUAGCCCUCUGUAUCAAGACAGUAUUUGGUGACCUAAAUGGUAGUGUGUGUAUAAAUUGUGAGAAUACACAUUGGCUUAUUAGGGAAUUAAAGACUGCUUUAACCGAA